UCUUCUGUUUAUGUACAGAAGAUAGAGAACACAGGGUAAGUGCAAGCUUCCUCAAACUGUCCUGCCAAUGUUCCUCAACCCAACCCUGGAGUGGAUCAUCUCUAGGACUUGGGGGGGGGGG
This 121-nucleotide small RNA is filed under the name Gopherus agassizii (Agassiz's desert tortoise). RNAcentral describes it as "TUC338 (ENSGAGG00000013953.1)". Lineage: Eukaryota; Metazoa; Chordata; Testudines; Testudinidae. The record is from RNAcentral.